Regulatory RNA element from Cavia porcellus (domestic guinea pig), 297 nucleotides. It matches the Rfam family "Mason-Pfizer monkey virus packaging signal". Rfam says of the family: The packaging signal is located in the 5' UTR and is required for specific RNA encapsidation. NCBI's taxonomy places the organism in Eukaryota, Metazoa, Chordata, Mammalia, Rodentia, Caviidae. The record is from Rfam.
UGGCACCCAACGUGGGGCUCCUGGCACUGGGGAGUCAACGAGGGAGCCGUUUGAGAAUGCUGGCUAAAAGUGGAAGCAAAUUGAAUCAAGGACCGAGGCAUGCGCAGACAAUCACCCGACAUGCUGCUUGAGUCACAGUGAGUGAACGGCAACCCCAUUCCCUUUUCCGGACAUGGGUCAAGCAUUGAGCGAACAUGAAUUGUUCAUGGGAGGCCUUAGCAAGGCAUUAAAGACAAGAUGGGUAAGGGUUAGAACAAAAGAAUUAUUGCAGUAUUUUCAAUUUAUCCAUAAAGUUUG